RNAcentral lists this ribosomal RNA (594 nucleotides) under Salmonella enterica subsp. enterica serovar Newport. RNAcentral describes it as "partial 23S ribosomal RNA". It matches the Rfam family "Bacterial large subunit ribosomal RNA", at positions 161 to 794 of the family's 2925-position model. Lineage: Bacteria; Pseudomonadati; Pseudomonadota; Gammaproteobacteria; Enterobacterales; Enterobacteriaceae. The record is from RNAcentral.
AAUCCAUAGGUUAAUGAGGCGAACCGGGGGAACUGAAACAUCUAAGUACCCCGAGGAAAAGAAAUCAACCGAGAUUCCCCCAGUAGCGGCGAGCGAACGGGGAGGAGCCCAGAGCCUGAAUCAGCAUGUGUGUUAGUGGAAGCGUCUGGAAAGGCGCGCGAUACAGGGUGACAGCCCCGUACACAAAAGCGCAUGUGCUGUGAGCUCGAUGAGUAGGGCGGGACACGUGGUAUCCUGUCUGAAUAUGGGGGGACCAUCCUCCAAGGCUAAAUACUCCUGACUGACCGAUAGUGAACCAGUACCGUGAGGGAAAGGCGAAAAGAACCCCGGCGAGGGGAGUGAAAAAGAACCUGAAACCGUGUACGUACAAGCAGUGGGAGCACAGGUUUACCUGUGUGACUGCGUACCUUUUGUAUAAUGGGUCAGCGACUUAUAUUCUGUAGCAAGGUUAACCGAAUAGGGGAGCCGGAGGGAAACCGAGUCUUAAUUGGGCGUUAAGUUGCAGGGUAUAGACCCGAAACCCGGUGAUCUAGCCAUGGGCAGGUUGAAGGUUGGGUAACACUAACUGGAGGACCGAACCGACUAAUGUUGAAA